Molecule: long non-coding RNA, 1078 nt
Organism: Carassius carassius (crucian carp)
Lineage: Eukaryota; Metazoa; Chordata; Actinopteri; Cypriniformes; Cyprinidae
Exons: 3
Source: RefSeq, a predicted model, not a curated record
UUGAUGUGUUGCAAGUCAGACACUCAAAACUGUGUUUCACCUUCCCACCUUUACAAACACCGCGCAUGUCCACCCCAUCGCCAGCUAAACCUGACACGCGUCUGCGCCGGGUUUUUUUUUUCUUUCGCUUGCUUUUUCUGGUUUGGUUUUGUUUUAGUCAGAUGGAGGGUCUCUACUGACGAUGUCACGUCUGGGCUCACACACGCACGCACGUUCAGAAGGACAGUGGGCUGUCCGGUGUAGCAUCAUUAGCUCAGCGGAGACGUGGCGGCCCUGACACAUGUCGAGCGGAGUGCAGCCAACCCACGGACGAGCACGACUCGCUCCUGCAUAAUUUGAAGUCAUCCAUGGCAGUGCUUUGAGAAUCCUUCCCGGCGUUCCCCAUGACUUGAACGGAGCAUCGCUCAGCGCCAUGAUGGCCCUAUUCACACUCAGUUGAGUUUUCUCCUGCUCUCCACAGCUGCGCGGCCGUCUACGCAGCGGGCUUCUCUCUCUCUCUCCCUCAUGUGCGCUCUAAAGGUCAAGUAACGAGGGAGAAGAAGUGAAGGAGAAGUAACACGCAACAGCUGAGUGUGUGGGGAACGGGAGAUGAGUGACAGCAUGUUUGCCACUGCAUAAUGAGUGCUGCUCUUUCUGUACUCCACAACUGCCUCCAUGCCCCCAGGUGCGCUCGGGCCCAGUGACGCUUCACCUUAACUCCAGUCAGACAGCACAUCGGAAGUUCUUCAGUGAGGUGUGGCCGUCCAGAGAUGCCACUUAGUGUUGGCAUCCCCCUGGGGACGCCAGGAUGUCCUUUCCAGUCAAUUGUAGUGAGUAAAUGAGACGCAGAGCUAACAAUGUGUGAGUUUAUAUGCCCUGUUCUGACAAGAGGGUAAAUUGCCAAUGUCUACUGCUGCUCGCUUAAAAUGUUGGAUACAUUAUUUUUGUCUUGAUUAAAUUAUGUUCGUCCUUGCUAAUCGGGUCUAUGAAACAUCACUGUCCACUACAAACAUGUCUUGUCCCUUUAAUAUACCUUUGGCUAAAUUAUAAUUUUUAUUUUAUUUAUUUUUUUUAAGUUUAAGAUUAUUAUCUUGUGCAU